This 430-nucleotide ribosomal RNA is filed under the name uncultured bacterium. RNAcentral's name for it is "bacterial SSU rRNA". It matches the Rfam family "Bacterial small subunit ribosomal RNA", at positions 28 to 455 of the family's 1533-position model. The record is from RNAcentral.
GAUGAACGCUAGCGGCAGGCUUAAUACAUGCAAGUCGUGGGGCAGCAUGAGUAGCAAUACUUGAUGGCGACCGGCAAACGGGUGAGGAACACGUACACAACCUUCCUUCAAGCGGGGAAUAGCCCAGAGAAAUUUGGAUUAAUACCCCAUAAUAUAUUUGAUAAGGCAUCUUAUUAAUAUUAAAGCUUCGGCACUUGAUGAUGGGUGUGCGGCUGAUUAGAUAGUUGGCGGGUAACGGCCCACCAAGUCUACGAUCAGUAGCUGAUGUGAGAGCAUGAUCAGCCACACGGGCACUGAGACACGGGCCCGACUCCUACGGGAGGCAGCAGUAAGGAAUAUUGGACAAUGGACGAAAGUCUGAUCCAGCCAUGCCGCGUGAAGGAUUAAAGGUCCUCUGGAUUGUAAACUUCUUUAUAUGGACGAAAAAGGG